Frankliniella occidentalis (western flower thrips) is the source of this 479-nucleotide long non-coding RNA. RefSeq lists it as uncharacterized. Lineage: Eukaryota; Metazoa; Arthropoda; Insecta; Thysanoptera; Thripidae. The record is from RefSeq and is a predicted model, not a curated record. The transcript is spliced from 2 exons.
CCUGAGCCACGAUCUCUAUUUGAUCUCGCACUUCUGGCCAGCUGUAGGCCGCAAUGCUCCACAGAAUUAGGACAACUGCCGCCACAACUUGUCUCCAUAAGCUUGGUCUGCUUUGUUCUGGGAUCCUAAGAUAAAAGAGGGUUGUCACCUUGCGAUGGCGACUGUUUUUGUUGACUGUUGACAGUUGACUGUCUCGUGUCGUCCGUCUAUCAAGCCCGAUAUCGCCUGCUUGCCAAGCUCCCAGCCUGAAAGCUUCUGCCUUUUCUGUUGGUGGACUCUUUCCUUAUCAGCUGCAAAUACCUAGCUAUAUGUACGCCAGACCACGUCUCGCGUAACAGGCUUCGCGAUAUCUCACGAAACACUGUUACGCUGCGACGCGCCUGGUGCACAUAUAGCUAGGCCUGCGGCGCUGACACCCGAGACGGGGUAAUAGGAGUGUAUAUACAAUUUUUCGAAAUGAAGUCUUUUUAACGAUUUAA